GACAGAGGGUGCAAACGUUGUUCGGAAUUACUGGGCGUAAAGCGCGUGUAGGCGGCUACGUAAGUCGGACGUGAAAUCCCACGGCUCAACCGUGGAAGAGCGCUCGAAACUGUGUAGCUUGAGUCCUGGAGAGGAAAGCGGAAUACUUGGUGUAGAGGUGAAAUUCGUAGAUAUCAGGUAGAACACCAGUGGCGAAGGCGGCUUUCUGGACAGUGACUGACGCUGAGACGCGAAAGCGUGGGGAGCAAACAGGAUUAGAUACCCGAGUAGUCC
Molecule: ribosomal RNA, 273 nt
Filed under: uncultured prokaryote
Description: partial 16S ribosomal RNA
Rfam family: Bacterial small subunit ribosomal RNA
Source: RNAcentral